Molecule: ribosomal RNA, 464 nt
Filed under: uncultured bacterium
Lineage: Bacteria
Description: partial 16S ribosomal RNA
Rfam family: Bacterial small subunit ribosomal RNA
Source: RNAcentral
GACGAACGCUGGCGGCGUGCCUAACACAUGCAAGUCGAGCGAAUGAAGUUCCUUCGGGAAUGGAUUUAGCGGCGGACGGGUGAGUAACACGUAGGCAACCUGCCUCAUAGAGGGGAAUAGCCUCCCGAAAGGGAGAUUAAUACCGCAUAAGAUUGUAGUACCGCAUGAUACAGCAAUUAAAGGAGCAAUCCGCUAUGAGAUGGGCCCGCGGCGCAUUAGCUAGUUGGUGAGGUAAUGGCUCACCAAGGCGACGAUGCGUAGCCGACCUGAGAGGGUGAUCGGCCACAUUGGGACUGAGACACGGCCCAGACUCCUACGGGAGGCAGCAGUGGGGAAUAUUGCACAAUGGGGGAAACCCUGAUGCAGCAACGCCGCGUGAGUGAUGACGGCCUUCGGGUUGUAAAGCUCUGUCUUCAGGGACGAUAAUGACGGUACCUGAGGAGGAAGCCACGGCUAACUACGUG